Molecule: long non-coding RNA, 594 nt
Organism: Solanum lycopersicum (tomato)
Lineage: Eukaryota; Viridiplantae; Streptophyta; Magnoliopsida; Solanales; Solanaceae
Source: RefSeq, a predicted model, not a curated record
CCAUUUGUUUUUCUAAUUUUUUUCUUUUUACAGAGAAAACUCCAACUACUUUUAGCCAAUGAUAGAUUCACCAGUCAUAGUUCCGUGCAAAUCUUGAACAGUUCUUUAGCUCUUUUCCUUUCUCCCUCUCAGUGGCAGAUUUGGCUAACAUAAGAUUCCAAGAAACUUCUGCAAAUUGUAAAGAAAUCUGAAUUGAGGACCCUUGCAAAAAUACAGUCCCAUGGACUCAUUACCAUCAUACCAGCAUAUGGAGGCUAUGUCUUUGACUAUCUGUAAUAGCAAGCAAAGCUACUUUGGGUUGCAAGUGAAUGUCAGGAACAAAUUUGGAUAUCCAGCCCACCUGCAUAUGGCCAUUGCAUCUUGAUAAUUUUGUGUCCGGUAGCAAGGUCCCCCCGUGUGGGACGAAGGUAGUAUAAUAGGUUUUUCCCACCAUUGAGCAAUUUGAAUCUCCACGCACAACUGCAUCCAUCAAUCCACCAAAAAGAUCAGCCCUGAGUUAUGUUUGAUUAUUGCGGAUGUACCUAAAUCUUGUUGUUCAUCUUGUAUUCCAAAUAUACUUACAACAAAACUUUGAACAUCUUUGUAAGAAAAUAA